RNAcentral lists this ribosomal RNA (433 nucleotides) under uncultured bacterium. Its description in RNAcentral is "partial 16S ribosomal RNA". It matches the Rfam family "Bacterial small subunit ribosomal RNA", at positions 29 to 507 of the family's 1533-position model. The record is from RNAcentral.
AACGAACGCUGGCGGCAUGCCUAACACAUGCAAGUCGAACGAGACCUUCGGGUCUAGUGGCGCACGGGUGCGGAACGCGUGGGAACCUGCCCUUAGGUUCGGAAUAACUCCCCGAAAGGGGUGCUAAUACCGGAUAAUGUCUUCGGACCAAAGAUUUAUCGCCUUUGGAUGGGCCCGCGUUGGAUUAGCUAGUUGGUAGGGUAAAAGCCUACCAAGGCGACGAUCCAUAGCUGGUCUGAGAGGAUGAUCAGCCACACUGGGACUGAGACACGGCCCAGACUCCUACGGGAAGCAGCAGUGGGGAAUAUUGGACAAUGGGCGAAAGCCUGAUCCAGCAAUGCCGCGUGAGUGAUGAAGGCCUUAGGGUUGUAAAGCUCUUUUACCCGGGAUGAUAAUGACAGUACCGGGAGAAUAAGCUCCGGCUAACUCCGUG